This 468-nucleotide ribosomal RNA is filed under the name uncultured bacterium. RNAcentral describes it as "partial 16S ribosomal RNA". It matches the Rfam family "Bacterial small subunit ribosomal RNA", at positions 28 to 507 of the family's 1533-position model. The record is from RNAcentral.
GACGAACGCUGGCGGCGUGCUUAACACAUGCAAGUCGAACGGAAAGGCCCUGCUUUUGUGGUGUGCUCGAGUGGCGAACGGGUGCGUAACACGUGAGUAACCUGCCCUUGACUUUGGGAUAACUUCAGGAAACUGGGCCUAAUAUCGGAUAGGAGCUCCUGCUGCAUGGUGGGGGUUGGAAAGUUUCGGCGGUUGGGGAUGGACUCGCGGCUUAUCAGCUUGUUGGUGGGGUAGUGGCUUACCAAGGCUUUGACGGGUAGCCGGCCUGAGAGGGUGACCGGGCACAAGGGGACUGAGGGACGGCCCAGACUCCUACAGGGGGCAGCAGGGGGGAAUAUGGCACAAUGAGCGGGAGCCUGAGACAACAGCGCCGCGGGCGUGAUGACGGCCUGCGGGUUGUAAACCGCUUUCGCCUGUGACGAAGCUUGAGUGACGGUAAUGGGUGAAGAAGCACCGGCUAACUACGUG